Molecule: microRNA precursor, 48 nt
Filed under: Drosophila guanche
Lineage: Eukaryota; Metazoa; Arthropoda; Insecta; Diptera; Drosophilidae
Source: RNAcentral
CGAUGAUGAUGAUGGUGAUGAUGAUGAUCAUCGUCAUCAUCUUCAACG